This 68-nucleotide transfer RNA is filed under the name Marmota monax (woodchuck). RNAcentral describes it as "tRNA.Ala". Lineage: Eukaryota; Metazoa; Chordata; Mammalia; Rodentia; Sciuridae. The record is from RNAcentral.
GGACUGUAGCUCAGUGGCAGAGCACUUGCCUAGCAUACGGGAGGCACUGGAUUCAAGCCUCAGCACCA